GUGAUUCAUCAGGCCAACAAAGAUAUAUAUCCGUGCUAUACCUACGUGUAUAAUGCUAAACAGGAUUGUUACCCACCAAAAAGGACAUAACCAAUGAAGAAAUCGAAUGCGUUGAAAACCAGGCCCAAAAUCUUCAAGCAACAAAAGUAAGCGACAAUAUAAAGAAUAAAUAAUAAAAUAAAAACAAUAAAAUUAAAUUAAUCCUGGUCAUUAUUUAUUACUUGCUAUAAAACAAAAGUUGCGGAAGGCAAAACAAAAACGGAUUAAUUGGUUUAUUCAAUAAUUGACCUGUGCUCUUAAAAUAUACAACUAAUCUACAUCUCGAAUUCUUCGUAUUUUGGAUUAAGAGGGUCGCAGGUAUUUUAGACUUGGUUACCUGGGACAUACAAUUUUGGAAUGAAAGUUGAACACCCGGAUUAAGAAAAUUCCACUAUCUUUCAGUUUUUUUUCUAAUUCUCUUAUAAACUAUGACAUCAUCGGAAUGAGGUUUUUUGUAUUUGACUAAAAAUAUAUCAGGUCAUUGAAUAUUGACAAAAAAAUGUCCUUGAUAAACACAUUUUUUUUUUAAAUAACUUAAAAAACUGAAAAAUGUUUUUUUUUUUCUCUAAAUUUCAACUUUAAAACUUAAUUUUGCACAAGCUAUUUAAUUAAACAACGUAAAUCCAAAAACAAAACAAAGAAUAAAACAUUAGCUUUACAAAAAUUAAAGCGCAGUGUUGUACGUGCUUUUUUUGAUUUUUAAUAAUUUGUUUUCUUUGGGCUAAUCGGGAUGGACAUUUAAAUGGGUUUUACUGUACCUAAAAAUGAAAAUUUAUCCUUCCAAAUAACUUUUUAGUCAUUAAAUUCAGAGAUGGUAUUCUUCUCACGUCGCAACUAAUCAACGAGGAAGAUAAAAAAAAAUUUCAAAUAAUCUGGAAAGAAUCCCGUGUACGGAUGGAGACGCCACAGUCGAAGAGUACGCGGGCACGUACACAUCACGAUGCCAGUGUUUUGGCAACCAACAAAAAGGUGCGAGGUAGCUUACAAUUGCCUCUUAGUAACUGUAUCAACAUCGGGACUGCAAACAAUAAUAUUGCAUGUAUUACGGAAGAAACGCUAUACAAGCUAUUGGAAAAUAAUAGAGAUGUACACGCAAAUUUUAGCGCGUUAAAUGCGCCAAAUUUAUACCGACACGGCAGCAAUUGAAGCACCUAAGAACGCAAAUUAUUAUGCUCUUCUGGCAAAUUCAGAAAAUGAAACGGUACAGAGUACUUCCAAAUCAAGUUAGGAUGGCAACACGGCUAAUGUAUUCAAGGAUGGUGUGAGUUCCAGUAAAUCAACAGCAAGAUCAAUCAACAGAAACGAAUGAAAGUUCCUGGGGCCUUUCAAUCUUCACAAAGGACUUAACUUAGAUAACAUUAAAUUCGUAUCUAACGGUUUUUGCCGUUUUAAAAUUUUUGUAAGGGGGGUUGAAGUACAUGGCUUUAUCAUGGAGCAUUUCAAAAAACUUAAUAAUUAGGCUUUUUCUUUUACUCCUAAGGAGCAUAUAACAUUUAAUUUAGUACUUAAGGGACUCAGCGGCAAUUGUUCGCCCGAGGAGAUACAUCAAGACCUGCUUAGAUUGAACUUCUCUCUGAGGGUGGUGGUAAAAAAUUUCAGACCAAAUGGUCUAGAGAAAAUGAGAUUCUCUUGAAUCUGUUUCUUUGUGUCUUGGAGGACAGGGAAAGUGUUUCAAAAAUUUAAAAGAUUGCACAGAAUGCAAUAUGAUUCGAUUAGGAGUUCUGGUAUUCGACAAUGUUUCAGCUGUCAAAGAAUUGGGUUAUUUUUGCGUUGAGAGUGCUUUAUUUGAAUAGACCUACUUUUCGCGUGUCCUGUUCUAAAAAUAUAUUUUUGAAAAUAAAGGCAAGAUUAAGAUCUUUUAUGAAAAGUAAGAUUCGUCUGUCUUUACCUGCAUUUUUCCUUAAUACAACCUAUUUUUUUUCAUGCAUUUUUAACAGAAUGUGUUCAAAUAUAGAGCUUUUGGGGGUAUGGUUGUCUGCACCAUCAAUCAAAGUAACAUAUGUUUUGAAGUUUUUGCGAAGAAAAUUAAAUGUAGAAGGUAUUUGGACAACUUUCUUCCUUGUGCCCAAACAUGUAUAAACGCUGGCAAAAGGAUGAGAAAUAUUUUUUUUUUAAAACAAUGACUGGCUUGACCGACCACAUACUUUUCCCAUGAAAAUUGGUUGUCUUCAGAAUACGUCCAAGAACCACCAUUCGGAAAAUAAACGCGGUAGACCAAACAAAAUUUUUGAAGCAUGUUGCAGCAAAACAAAGAUGCAACAAGUUGAUGAUUUUAUCAGAACAAGGUCUGUCAAAGAAUUAAUGUAUGCAAUACAUUUAUCAGAGCUAAAUUCAUCAACUUCUGCUCAUUGAGAUGAAGAAAAGAAAAUUAUACCACCUUUCAUUAUAUCUUGAUGUCGAUAUAACAGAGAAGCUAUGCAAUAUUUAGAAAAACUGUUAAAGCAAUACACAAGGUCUCUUUUCCGAGCAACUACGCAUUAAGACAAGCAAAAAAAGGAUUCCUUACAAAAUGUACAGCCACGGAAACAUCAGCAGAAGUUGAUUUUCAAGACUUAUCUAAAAAAAAGUAAGUAUUGAUAAGGAAACACACGCUAAAAUGAUCUGAAAAUGGGGCUUCGAUGGUAGUGGCAACCAUAGCGCUUAUAAAAUUAAAGGGCCUAUUAUGGAUCACAACUCAACUUAGUUGAGUUGUAAUCAAGACAACUCAAUUUGAAGACAACUGCAAAAAAAAAUCGUAUUACGUGAGACAACUUUUUUCAGUUGAGUAGACCAAAUACGUUGCCUACUUUUAUGUGCUUGUUUUGUGUCAAAAUCAGCUGUGUAAAGUAAAAUACGUAGGAAUUUCAAAAUUUUGAAUUCAGUGCAAAAUUUUAUAAAAAAGACAAAAUAAUAGGAAAUGGAGAGUUCUAUUGAUUUGUUUCUUGGAAAUUCGGAAGAAGAAAAUGCUCUAAAUGUUGCGCUGAUGAGAAAAAAUAUUCGAGAUCACUCCAAUCCAUUGGAACUUCCAAACAAAAAAUUUAUAAGUUAUUUUAGACUCAACAAAGACGCAUUUUUGUAUGUGCUAAAUGAAAUCAAAGAUCAUUUGAAACAACCACAGCGUUCCUCCGCAAUCCCACCAAUUCUCAAACUCUGCACUGCCCUACGUUUCACGGCAGAAGGAAGUUACCAAAAGUGCAGUGGUAAUGAUUUUAAUUUAGGCCUUGCUCAGCCAACAGUUUCGGUAGUGUUAAAAAAGU
This is a long non-coding RNA of Eupeodes corollae, 3275 nucleotides long. RefSeq lists it as uncharacterized. NCBI's taxonomy places the organism in Eukaryota, Metazoa, Arthropoda, Insecta, Diptera, Syrphidae. The transcript has 2 exons. The record is from RefSeq and is a predicted model, not a curated record.